AGAUUGAACGCUGGCGGCAUGCCUUACACAUGCAAGUCGAACGGCAGCACGGGAGCAAUCCUGGUGGCGAGUGGCGAACGGGUGAGUAAUACAUCGGAACGUGCCCAAUCGUGGGGGAUAACGCAGCGAAAGCUGUGCUAAUACCGCAUACGAUCUACGGAUGAAAGCAGGGGACCGCAAGGCCUUGCGCGAAUGGAGCGGCCGAUGGCAGAUUAGGUAGUUGGUGAGGUAAAGGCUCACCAAGCCUUCGAUCUGUAGCUGGUCUGAGAGGACGACCAGCCACACUGGGACUGAGACACGGUCCAGACUCCUACGGGAGGCAGCAGUGGGGAAUCUUGCACAAUGGACGAAAGUCUGAUGCAGCAACGCCGCGUGGGGAUGAAGCUUUUCGGAGUGUAACCCCUUUCGACCCGGAAGAACGCCCGCAAGGUUGACGGUACGGUAUAAGAAGCCCGGCUAACUACGUGCCAGCAGCCGCGGUAAUC
RNAcentral lists this ribosomal RNA (485 nucleotides) under uncultured bacterium. Its description in RNAcentral is "SSU rRNA". It matches the Rfam family "Bacterial small subunit ribosomal RNA", at positions 26 to 525 of the family's 1533-position model. The record is from RNAcentral.